This 371-nucleotide ribosomal RNA is filed under the name uncultured Bacteroidota bacterium. RNAcentral's name for it is "bacterial SSU rRNA". It matches the Rfam family "Bacterial small subunit ribosomal RNA", at positions 521 to 896 of the family's 1533-position model. The record is from RNAcentral. Lineage: Bacteria; Pseudomonadati; Bacteroidota.
UAAUACGGAGGGUCCGAGCGUUGUCCGGAAUCAUUGGGUUUAAAGGGUCCGCAGGCGGUCAAUUAAGUCAGAGGUGAAAUACCAUAGCUCAACUAUGGAACUGCCUUUGAUACUGGUUGACUUGAGUCAUAUGGAAGUAGAUAGAAUGUGUAGUGUAGCGGUGAAAUGCAUAGAUAUUUCACAGAAUACCGAUUGCGAAGGCAGUCUACUACGUAUGUACUGACGCUGAGGGACGAAAGCGUGGGGAGCGAACAGGAUUAGAUACCCUGGUAGUCCACGCCGUAAACGAUGGAUACUAGUUGUUGGGCAUUAGCUCAGCGACUAAGCGAAAGUGAUAAGUAUCCCACCUGGGGAGUACGGUCGCAAGACUG